CAGUAUUUCUGAAAUUCUAUUUUCUGAAAUUCUUCAGGAAGGAUUUCAAAAAUACUGGU
RNAcentral lists this microRNA precursor (59 nucleotides) under Gorilla gorilla gorilla (western lowland gorilla). Its description in RNAcentral is "mir-3167 microRNA precursor family". It matches the Rfam family "mir-3167 microRNA precursor family". The record is from Rfam by way of RNAcentral. Lineage: Eukaryota; Metazoa; Chordata; Mammalia; Primates; Hominidae.